RNAcentral lists this ribosomal RNA (518 nucleotides) under Balaena mysticetus (bowhead whale). Its description in RNAcentral is "partial 16S ribosomal RNA". It matches the Rfam family "Bacterial large subunit ribosomal RNA", at positions 1838 to 2581 of the family's 2925-position model. The record is from RNAcentral. Lineage: Eukaryota; Metazoa; Chordata; Mammalia; Artiodactyla; Balaenidae.
AACCAGUAUUAGAGGCACUGCCUGCCCGGUGACAACAGUUAAACGGCCGCGGUAUCCUGACCGUGCAAAGGUAGCAUAAUCACUUGUUCUCUAAUUAAGGACUUGUAUGAAUGGCCACACGAGGGUUUUACUGUCUCUUACUUUUAAUCAGUGAAAUUGACCUCCCCGUGAAGAGGCGGGGAUAAUAAAAUAAGACGAGAAGACCCUAUGGAGCUUCAAUUAAUCAACCCAAAAAUCAUAACCUCAAACCACCAAGGGAUAACAAAAUUUUAUAUGGGCUGACAAUUUCGGUUGGGGUGACCUCGGAGCACAAAAAACCCUCCGAGUGAUUAAAGCCUAGGCCCACUAGCCAAAGCAUAAUAUCACUUAUUGAUCCAAUCUUUUGAUCAACGGAACAAGUUACCCUAGGGAUAACAGCGCAAUCCUAUUCUAGAGUCCAUAUCGACAAUAGGGUUUACGACCUCGAUGUUGGAUCAGGACAUCCUAAUGGUGCAGCCGCUAUUAAGGGUUCGUUUGUU